Molecule: long non-coding RNA, 2354 nt
Organism: Mus musculus (house mouse)
Lineage: Eukaryota; Metazoa; Chordata; Mammalia; Rodentia; Muridae
Product: predicted gene, 54175
Exons: 3
Source: RefSeq, a predicted model, not a curated record
UUUCAGUUUGUUUCCAAUGAUGGAAAGAAAAUUGUAAAGAGUACAGACAGCAUCAAAUCUAAGGACCAAGGAUUAGUUCAUGCAAAAUACUAAACACAAACAAACAAACAGACAGACAGACAGACAGACAAAACCAAUAACAAAAAUAAUUAAAAACUAAACAGCAUCGAAGCCAGGCUGGUGAAGGAAAUGUAACAGUCAUUCUUAAAAGAAAGUUUAUUUUAGGAAUGUGAACAUCAGGAAAUAAUACUUUUAACUGUUUCCCUACAACUCAGAUGUAUAAAUUGUAACUGUAUGUCAUUAACAUUGAAAAGAUAGACACAUUCAGGAACAGAAUAGGCUUUCUUAUAUCUUUACUUUUUACACAAAUAAUUUCAUAAAUUGAUAUUUAUAUUCUUUUUUGCAUCUACUUGCACUCUUCAUUUUUGUACAUAUAAUUAUUUUCCCAUUUGUUCAAAACAAUAUAUAUUAAAUUUAAAUAUGCUACAUUUGGCAUAAGGAAAUAAGGAAGAAAUAAGGAAGAAAGAAAGGAAGAAAGAAAGAAAGAAAGAAAGAAAGAAAGAAAGAAAGAAAGAAGGAAAGAAAUGAAGGAAGUAAAAAAGGAAUAAAAGGCAUAAUGUUCUGAUGUUCUUUUGGAAAUUGCAUAUAUAUAUAUAUAUAUAUAUACAUAUAUAUAUAUAUAUAUAUAUAUAUACAUAUACACAUAUAUUAGUAUUAGUGUUUUCAAGUAAAAUCAUUUUUUAAAGUGCACUUGGCUACUGGCUAGGAUGGGAUAACACUCAUGACAAGCAGGUUACUCUCUUUCAUAGUGGACAAUUUGGGGAUGGCCAGAGUGUGAGAGAGACACCUACUUGCUCUGAACUUAAUCAGUGUCUCUUCCAGGCUUCCGCCAUCUCUCAUAUCCCUGAUGUAGUUUCCAUGUGUUCUUAACAACCAGGGCUUGUUAAGAUUUGCUCUAAAGCAGAUAUGCACUUUCAACAACUAUUCUUACAAUUGUGUCAAGAAAUGUUAUCUGGUGAAACAUAAAUACAUGUAGGUAUAAAAAUUUGUAUCCCAGAAAUAUAUAACGAACAAUGUUCUUUCUAACUCCACUUCAGACAUUUUUGGUUCAUGCACAGACUCUAAGUGCUCUGCUUAAAUGAGUUUCUGGAGAAACACAACUCUAACAUUGAGCAAAUGUCCCUUGAACAUUCACACGUCUCCUGGAAACAACCGGUCAAGCGCUCAUAUUUCCCGUCCGUAAAUAGAUUGUUUUCAAAGAAGAAAUUCUAAACUUAUUUUCCACAAUCUAGAAGCAGGCUGCUAAAUAAGACAUAAUAAUUCACAGCAACAACAAAUUUGCCCUGCCAAGAAGACAGCAAGUUCUCUAGAGCCUUGGCCUUCUUUUACUGCCCUGAGUUACAGAGCAUCAGAAAGCAACAGACUCAAGAGAACGUGGAUGGGGGCAUCUGAAAAUGUGAGCAGGAUGAAGUCUUCCCUUCUCAAGAAUUUGUCACAGCAGCGUCAAAACUACCGACUGGUCAUUCAAUCAAAGUCCUAAUAAGGGCACAAACUUCAGAAGCUUGGGCUGUCCUGUGAUUCCUCAGAAAUGAAGCAAGCAGCUUCCCAAGGCUCUAUGGACUGAUUUGGUCACUGGCACUACGUUGCUCAAGCAGCUUCAUGGAGCACAACACGGAAAAGAAGCUCCGGUCAAUGUGACAGAGUGAGCAGCUCGGGCUGGACAGGCUUCUAACUGUUUAGAGGAGCUCUCGUUCUUUGAAAUACUUCAGUGAUGUCAGAAUGUAUAGCAAUUCUUUAGGACUCUAAAAUGAAGAAUAAUGUCAACAACUAAACAGAUCAUUGGAAGGAAUGAAAUACUUGCUCCACAAGUAUAUGCUAAGAAGCCAGAACGCAGAUUUCACACAGUUGAGAGACAUGUAUAGACUUUUCCAGAAAGCUCUCCCGUAAAAGCAGUGGCUUCAGGUCGGUUUGCAGAAGGAUGAUCUGUUCUUUCUUUUUCAGUUUGACCGGGAUUCAAAUUUUGCUCUGUGUGAUAAGUGUAUAAGUAUUUUAAUACUCCCUCUUAAAAGUCUUCCCUACAUACUAUAUUAUAUGAAUCCUGCAUUUUGGGUAGAAAGAAAACAAAAGACUAAAAGCCUAACAUCUGCUAUGUUGUCCUAAUAGUUUUGGCUCAUUUAUAUUUUGAACAUCAGUGUAUAUCAGUAUAAAAUUUUAAUAUAACCUGCUGUAGAAGCAUACCUUGCUGCAAUGUGUUUGUACUCAGUGCUGUGGAGUGGUUUACUAUGACCAAAUUUAAAUCUAGGGCAAAGGGAGAACCUUAUAGAGGAGAAGUUUGUGUUUAGGGAAAUUCUUUC